Molecule: long non-coding RNA, 496 nt
Organism: Gossypium arboreum
Lineage: Eukaryota; Viridiplantae; Streptophyta; Magnoliopsida; Malvales; Malvaceae
Exons: 3
Source: RefSeq, a predicted model, not a curated record
AUGUUCCAUGAUAAUAGGUUAGGUAAAUGUUCCAUGAUAAUGGGUUAGGUAAAUGUUUCAUGAUAAUGGGUUAGGUAAAUGUUUCAUGAUAAGAAUUUCAUGUCUUUUGUAUUAAAGAAUUAAAUGGAUGAAAUAUGAAGUUUUAUUAAAAGAAAAAGGGGUGAAAAGAACAAAGUUUUGUCCAUCUUUGUUCAUCAUAGCUGAAAGUUAGAGAAGAGAAAAGAGAGGAGAAAGCUCUUGAGUAUUUGGUCAUUAGGAAGAGGAAAAUUGAAGGCAGUUCGUGUGUGGAUCUCGUCAGUAUAUCGUCGCAAACAGGAAAUCCCCAACCAUAGUGGGCUUGGAGUUGUGAGGGAAUUCGGAGUGGCCACCCGUUCUGAAAGUUUGAUUUUCUUCUGGUGAACUGGACAUCCUUUUAUUUACGUUUGAAGUUUUUGGGCUUUUAAAUGUAAUAAGGCCACUUAAUUAUUUUUGAUGGUUUUAAUAUGUAUUACUAAGA